CCAGUGGUGGUUCAGUGGUAGAAUCUUCACCUUCCAUGUGGGAGACCCAGGUUCAAUUCUCGGCCAAUGCA
Molecule: transfer RNA, 71 nt
Filed under: Loxodonta africana (African savanna elephant)
Lineage: Eukaryota; Metazoa; Chordata; Mammalia; Proboscidea; Elephantidae
Rfam family: tRNA
About the family: Transfer RNA (tRNA) molecules are approximately 80 nucleotides in length. Their secondary structure includes four short double-helical elements and three loops (D, anti-codon, and T loops).
Source: Rfam by way of RNAcentral